CUACGGGGCGCUCCAGUGGGGAAUAUUGGACAAUGGGCGCAAGCCUGAUCCAGCAAUGCCGCGUGAGUGAAGACGGCCUUAGGGUUGUAAAACUCUUUCGCUAGGGAAGAUAAUGACUGUACCUAGUAAAGAAGUCCCGGCUAACUCCGUGCCAGCAGCCGCGGUAAUACGGAGGGGACCAGCGUUGUUCGGAAUUACUGGGCGUAAAGAGUUCGUAGGCGGACUGACAAGUUAGAGGUGAAAUCCCAGGGCUCAACCCUGGAACUGCCUUUAAAACUGUCAGUCUAGAGACCGGAAGAGGUUAGGGGAAUACCUAGUGUAGAGGUGAAAUUCGUAGAUAUUAGGUGGAACACCAGUGGCGAAGGCGCCUAACUGGUCCGGUACUGACGCUGAGGAACGAAAGCGUGGGGAGCAAACAGGAUUAGAUACCCCCGUAGUC
RNAcentral lists this ribosomal RNA (439 nucleotides) under uncultured bacterium. RNAcentral describes it as "partial 16S ribosomal RNA". It matches the Rfam family "Bacterial small subunit ribosomal RNA", at positions 339 to 795 of the family's 1533-position model. The record is from RNAcentral.